UUUUCAGAAGACAGGAGUACUCUGGUUAUGGGUUUUGAAUGUCACUUUAGAUUGGAAUCCAAAUUGAGAAAAAAUUUAGGCAUGCUUUUGGAAGGCUAGGCAAAAGGAGCUUAAGCUAAUCCUAAAUGGGAUGAAAACCAGAAUAUGCAGUUCCCCGGGAAUCAGUAGAAAUUCUCCAUAAAGCUGACCUCUGAAUCUAUAAAAAUGAUAUAGGUUACUACAGAUGUGAUAAAUUCAUUUGAGCAAUAAAAAAAAAAUGAUAUAGGCAAAUUUGCCAUUGUCUGUCCUAAAUUCAAUUAGUUGUACUUAAAACAUCUAGAUAGAGUUAUGUCUUGGUGUCUGAAUAACUUGCCGCAAGAAAAGAUGCCAGUUAGGGGAAGGUUUCAUGCCUCCAGCUAUGGCUACAUGUGACCUCAAGUCUUCAGAGGGGGGAGGGAGAGCAUGGGACCAGCAGGCACAGAGUGGGCCUUCAAGAGAGAGGCAUGUGCACAUUGGUUUUGCUUCAUUGAGAGCAUUAGGCAUCUAAUCUGCUCUGUCUUUGCCUGAAUUCAGCUGCCUUUUAUUCCAGCCUCUUCCGUUUGAUGUGCAUCACUCUUUGUUUCCACUCUGCUCCCCUUUCAUGGUGCUUCUUCAGGGGCUGUAAAUUUUGAAUGGCUCUCAUGUCUAUAGCGUUUCCUGAAUUGCAGAUCUGGACAGUACUGAAGGGCAGCCGGGCCUCCCCAAGAGCCUGUUUUGCUUGACCAAGUGCUUUGGCUGUAUUGAUUUUGUAUGAGAAAUUCUGGGAUAACAUUCAGUUCCUUCAUGGUUCUUAAAAAUCUCAGUCAUCAACGGGCUUUGUAUUUCAGGCAAGAGACACAAUG
This 860-nucleotide long non-coding RNA is filed under the name Sus scrofa (pig). RNAcentral's name for it is "lncRNA (ENSSSCG00000053946.1)". Lineage: Eukaryota; Metazoa; Chordata; Mammalia; Artiodactyla; Suidae. The record is from RNAcentral.